CCUACGGGCGGCAGCAGUGGGGAAUAUUGGACAAUGGGGGCAACCCUGAUCCAGCCAUGCCGCGUGUGUGAAGAAGGCCCUCGGGUUGUAAAGCACUUUCAGUGAGGAAGAACGCCUGGUGGUUAAUACCCAUCAGGAAAGACAUCACUCACAGAAGAAGCACCGGCUAACUCCGUGCCAGCAGCCGCGGUAAUACGGAGGGUGCGAGCGUUAAUCGGAAUUACUGGGCGUAAAGCGCGCGUAGGUGGCUUGAUAAGCCGGUUGUGAAAGCCCCGGGCUCAACCUGGGAACGGCAUCCGGAACUGUCAAGCUAGAGUGCAGGAGAGGAAGGUAGAAUUCCCGGUGUAGCGGUGAAAUGCGUAGAGAUCGGGAGGAAUACCAGUGGCGAAGGCGGCCUUCUGGACUGACACUGACACUGAGGUGCGAAAGCGUGGGUAGCAAACAGGAUUAGAUACCCCCGGUAGUC
Molecule: ribosomal RNA, 466 nt
Filed under: Vreelandella stevensii
Lineage: Bacteria; Pseudomonadati; Pseudomonadota; Gammaproteobacteria; Oceanospirillales; Halomonadaceae
Description: partial 16S ribosomal RNA
Rfam family: Bacterial small subunit ribosomal RNA
Source: RNAcentral